CUGCAGGGCAGUGAGGAGCCUCAGGAGGAGAGGAAUGUGGGGCUGGGGGCUUGCUGCAGCUCCAACUAUGAUCAGUGCGUAAAUCUACCUGCAACACAGGAUGUUGGAAAAUUACCGAGACACAGCAAUGUCCUCCCUGCUGCUUGGUGAGAAAGGAAGGAUGCACCUUCAGGUGGCCACGGGUCUGUGUCCGCAUGAGCAGGGCCUGUGGAAGGGCUACUGUCUGCAGCUGAGACCUCGAGCAAGAGGUGAUGUAUAAAAAUAUUCGUAAGCAGGAGAAAGCCUCGGCACCAGCGUUUCUGGCUCACGAGGUGGAAGCAUCCCUCUGUGCAAGGACCUGAGCACUGGAGGUGUCAGAGAAUUGUGGGUGCUGCAUCAACCUGUGGCUCCACAAAUCCCCCCAGAACAAAUGAGUUACCUGAAAUCUCGGAGCUGUGCUUCACCUCUUGCUGUCCCAGCCAGCAACCCUGACCCCAGACAGCUGUAAAAGUGUGUCCUGGGCUUUGUGAAGCAAUGAAGCUCUGUGUCUGUGCAAGCAGCAGGAGACAUACAGGCACAGAGUCCCUCCUUUCUAAAUGACAUCCGCAGCCCUGCAUGCCUGCAAAGCCAUGCAUACACAGUGCUGUGAUGUGCACGCUGUAUUUUUUCCUAACUGUGUGCAGCCAUGCGACCUUCUCUUGGCCUUCUCCUAGGCUGCCACAGCCCCGCAUGUUACGUACAUCGCACGUGGAUAUGGGAAGGACAAACACAUGAGAAGCAUCACAGAAUGACCAACGCACCUGACUGCAGGAAGACAAAAUGUCCUUCCCAAACGCUCUGGCAUGUGCAGAGGCACUUCCAUAGUGUCUGUGUCUCAGAGCUUUCAAUGCUUAUGAUUUGUCCAAGGGCAACUUUGCAAAAUGUCAAUGUUCUUAUCAAAAUUCCCUGUGACAGGCUUCAAGUUUUAAUUAAAGGAACUUGUUGGUUUUUUUUUUUCCCCCUGAAAAAUGGAUGCUAGAUAUUUUUUCUAAGAAAGCAAAUGUUUUUUCAAGGAAAAAAAUGCCUGUCCCUGUGUUUUUGCUACUCUGCCAUGUCUUUUUGGCUAACUUGCUUUCUAAGACAACCCUGUGAGCCACUCCACGAGGAAGCUCAGUAGCCCGGUGGCCCGGUCUCGCAGGUUCGUCUGAGAGUGGCACAACCAAGACUGGCCAUGGCAGCGUGCAUGCACCACACGGUCAGGAUCCACGCGUGCAAAGACACCUACAACCCUGCACGAACAACCAACUGGCGCUGCAGAUAAAGUCAGUGACUUGCAGACCCGGUUCUGCCUACAAAUCCCUGAGACCAGUGGCAAUGCAGGCAAAGGCUGGGAGAAAUUUUGCCAUUAACCUCUGAAAACCAGGGAAUUUGUGCUUGUGAAGCAAUCAGGUUGGCGUUCUGCCCUUACUGCUGCUAAUUAAGGAUUGAUAGGACUGAAGGCAGUGGUGUAAGAGACAGCCACGACAUCCUUCUGGACUUUGAUUUGAUCUCUGCCUUUCAUGGUCUUCUCUUUUGUUCUUGCUCGUGGGUUUUAAAAGCAAGUCUUUGAUGGAAGGUGGCAAAGUCUCGCUUAAGCGGAGUUUUUUUGGCAACAAACAUUUGCAUUUUGGAGCUGCCCUCAUCUGUUGGGUAAACAUGAAAUUAUCAUCUUUGACUGGAACUGAUCCUCUGGAGCCAUGUUAUUCCACUGGGGAGAGGUAUUUUCACUGAUUUUCAAUGUGGAUUAUUUUUGUGACUGACUGUAAUGGUUUCUUUGGCGGUAUUAGGGCUUAUUAUGUCAGGAUUUAUUUCGGCAUGAAGUGAUUCAACGUGCUGUAGUCCUGUAACUUUCCUUUGCAUGCUGAAAUCCAAGAGGACAUCUUCUGCUUCCUCCAUGGGCACGAUGGAAACAACCUCUCUGCAGCUGGACCCGUCUCCCGAGGUCAGCUUUCCCCAAUUGCUUUGUAACUGCUAAAGGAGCAAAUUUAAGGGAACAGAUUUCCUGCAAAAGACAUGUAAAAACUCAUCUAGGUGAAAAAUCUAUAUAGAAAAGCCUCCUAGAAAGAGGAGGAGAGGACCACAAAGGAGAGAUUGCACCUUCAGAGGAGCAGUGCAGGCACCGGGAACUCCCCAGCAUUAGCAGAGGGGUUAGCAGCAGAAAAUGCAAGUGAGGAUUACAUGUGGAUUAUACUGCAGUGAUGCUGAAACAUUGUCAGUGCUGAGACAUCUAACAAAGGGCUUUAUUUCUUUAGGAGAAGAACUGCUGGACCCAAAGUAGUCCUAGACAUCACUCUUCAGGUGUUACUUGUGAUGAGGUGGUGAGGCAACGAGUAUAUUAGCUAAGGCAGUGUGUUGUGGCAUCUGGUACCUCUGGGAGACGUUGGCAAUGCAAACUGGUGGACCGGCUCCUCAAAGCCACAUGUGAUGUGGGAUUUUGGCAACCACUCCUCUGUCAAAUACUUCUCAUGCUCCACCAGAUAUCAGAAGAAAAGGUUCACUUAAAACCCUUCAGUGCUACUCUGUGCCAAGUAGAAAUGAAUUGGUAACACUGGCAUUAAACUGGUUGCCGUUCUCCUGGCUCCAUUACCAUCAUUAAAAUCAUCCAGGACCUUUGG
Long non-coding RNA from Gymnogyps californianus (California condor), 2612 nucleotides. RefSeq lists it as uncharacterized. The transcript is spliced from 3 exons. The record is from RefSeq and is a predicted model, not a curated record. NCBI's taxonomy places the organism in Eukaryota, Metazoa, Chordata, Aves, Accipitriformes, Cathartidae.